This is an RNA transcript of Paramacrobiotus metropolitanus, 3133 nucleotides long. RefSeq lists it as uncharacterized. The record is from RefSeq and is a predicted model, not a curated record. NCBI's taxonomy places the organism in Eukaryota, Metazoa, Tardigrada, Eutardigrada, Parachela, Macrobiotidae. The transcript is spliced from 7 exons.
GAGUGAGUGGAAUUUAACGUAUUUUUUGGAAGUGACAGUUAUUUGUACUGGAAAGGCUCUUCUAAUGGUACUACAGUAUACUUAGUGAAUCUGGAUUAGUUGGUGAUCCAUUUAAGAGCAAGUCUCUAAUGUUUUUCAGUGUUUACUUCCCACUUUAUUUGUUAGAGAAAACCAAGAGAAAUUUGAAAUGGAUCAGUUUUUUGAGUUUGCGUACUCGGUUGUAAGACGUGCGGAGCGUUAUCUAACAGUCCAGAAUGGGGAUCAAGAUCAAGAUGGGGUUGACGGAGCGCUGACGCAGAUGGAUUAUUUGCUUGGAUAUACUAGAGAUAUCUGCGAAAAUGUUCCGGAGGAGCGGACGGUGCAAGCGCAAGAGCUUUUUGAUGUUUUAAUUAACUACUCCAGUCGCUUACGGGAUCUACUGCAAGAAGACGAAAACGGGACUGCGUCCGUUUUUCCCAUCACGCAGCACACCAAAGUAGAUGGAAAAAUAUUCCUUCUGGAGGAUGAUUUAGCUGAACUGCGGUUCGAGGGAUUUACUGUGAAUGAUAUUGCUAAGCUUUAUGGAGUUUCUAAGAGGACAGUCACGUACAGAUUGGCAGAUGCUGGCUUGAAUAGGAAAUAUUCGGAAUUGAGUGAUGUGGAUUUGGAUCGCGUAAUUGUGGAUAUUUUAAAUUCGUUCCCGAACGUAGGAUAUCGUUACAUUAACGGCCAGUUAAAAUCAGGAGGUUUAACAGUCCAACGCACGAGAAUUCUGGCUUCUAUGAGAAGACUGGAUCCGUAUGGCAUAGCUAAUCGGUUUUUCCAUUUUGUCCCUCGCCGCAUUUAUUCAAAUGCUGGCCCAAACGCGCUGUGGCACAUUGAUGGCAAUCACAAGUUGGUUCGCUGGGGAUUCGUAAUACACGGGAUUAUUGACGGUUACUCUCGAAUGGUUAUUUCUCUCGUCGUUGCAACGAACAAUCGCGCAAGUACAGUGCUGCAGGCCUUCCUCGUUGGCGCUGAAGCUUGGGGAGUGCCGUCCAGAGUGAGAAGCGAUUGCGGCGGUGAAAAUUUCGGAGUUGCACGCUGGAUGGAGCAUUAUAUGGGUCCGAACCGCGCCAGUAUCAUUAUGGGACCGUCAGUUCACAAUCAGCGGAUAGAACGGCUGUGGAGAGACUUGGGUCGCGUUGUGAUUAAAUUAUUUCGAUCUAUUUUCAUUCACAUGGAAAAUAUGCAAAUUUUGGAUAUGACGAGUGCCCGCGACAUGAUGGUUUUGCACUUAGUAUUCACGGAAAGAAUACAGAAUAAGCUCAAUAGCUUCAUUUCUUUUUUUAAUAACCACAAAUUGCGCACGGAGGGCGAAAAGUCACCAAGGCAGUUGUUUGUUCUCGGCUGCAAUCAGAAGGGACUGAAAGGUUUUGCUCUGGAAGAAAUCUUAUCGGUCGACAAUGCACUGCCUAACGCCGACGUGGAUGUCGCAGAAAAUUUCCCUCAGUACUUAAGAAAUCAAGUUGGCCAUUCAAGGAUUCUGUCCCGGUGUGCGAUAAAAUCAGCAGUUUCCCUGUUGAAGCUCAGGUAAUUCGGGCUAGUAUGGAUCUGAUGCGGGAUGAUGGAUUUCAUGGAAUUCAGGUUUUUUGCGAAGCGAAAGAAAUGUUACAACAUUAUUUUGGUUAAUGGUAGACUGACAAAUCAGUGUGUCCGAAUUUUAGAAAAAAACCUUAGUACUGCUUUCCGUUGAUAAUAUUACUACCGGCAGUGUUAGAAGCUAGCUAAUCUUUCAGAAAGCGAAAGUGAGUUUAUUGCUUUAGUAAGUUAGCGUUGUAAUUGACUGCUUCUGCUGAAUUUAACGUUUUGUAAUUGUUGGAUGCAUUGUUUUCAUGGUGAAAACGCAACACGGCUUGGUGAGAAUUAAAUUUGCGGCAAGCAUGUUAACUGAGAAGAAACCGCUGCGGUGACAGAAGAAUUUUUAAUACAGUACGCCGCCUCGUGAAAAUACGUGUACGUUCCGCCGGUUAUUAACGACACUUACACCUGCGUUAAGGAAGUUUGGCAUCCUUGCAAGCACGCGGGAUCGGUUGACUUGGAUAACGCUUCAACAGUCAUCUUCCCAUGGAUAUGAAGACCGGCAGAAAUUACAUCGUUACUUAUUGUGGCGUGCAAAAGCACUCGUGCUGUUGGACAGUCGUCCAAAAACGUAAUUUUCCGAAUGGCACCGGAAGAAGUUCCUAAAGACGUGCUGAAUGCUUAUAGAUCCCAGAGGGGCGGAACAUUGGACCUUGGUUUUCCAAAAGCGGGACCAAAAAUGUGCGGAAGAGUUUGCUCGCGCCUUCCGUGACGUCAGUCAAAGUUCUGGCAUGCGGUUCGGAAAUCCGCAGAUUAUCAUGCUAACUGCCGAUCAAAACAUCACAUAUGCCCAUAGCAUUGCUAAAGCCGCGGUCGAAGACAAAGUCAUUGUGAGUUGUACACUGGGAAGAGCAGAUCGUUUGCGCGCAAUUGUGCAGAAAAUCGCUUUGCAAAUCAAUUGCAAGCUGGGUGGAUCCAUUUGGCGCAUGGCUAAAAUGCUGACAAGAAGAAGAUCAGAUGAGCCUUAUGGUGAUUGGAGUGGACGCCUAUCACGACAUCAAACGAAGAAAUUAUUCGAUCGCAGCUUUGGUGACUAGCACGGACGACGAUUUUACACACUGGCAUAGUCGUUGUAAUUUUCAGCCACCAAAAACGGAAUUGGCAUCAGGGAUAAAGUUUUCAUUCGCUUGUGCAAUGAUUUCGUAUCGCAAGGGUAUGAGCGUUUUAGUAGAACAUAACAGAUUUGACUUCCUCAGACGUUUUGCAGGAAGACCCGGUCAAUGCCGUUGAUUUAUCAAGACCAGUCCAUUUCGGAAUCUCACAUCCAUACUCGGAAACACUGCAGUAUUUUUGAUGAAAGUACAGUAUUGCUGACGGAAGGUCUUGCAUUUUUCUCGCUUGCAGUGUAUUAAAUUCGUGUAUUUUGCAGUGUGUUUUCGUGUUAAUAUUAAUUUAUGCUUAAAAAAAUACCUGUUAAGUAUCUCAUGGUCAGCGAUGGUCAGAAAGUCAGCGCUUACAAUACUGUACUGCAGAUUACGUUAUCCUUUAUGUUACCACUGCCGUAAAGUCCAAAUAAUAUUUACAUGGCUGUAUG